Molecule: small RNA, 56 nt
Filed under: Escherichia coli
Lineage: Bacteria; Pseudomonadati; Pseudomonadota; Gammaproteobacteria; Enterobacterales; Enterobacteriaceae
Also listed under: 2 other names
Description: partial RtT sRNA
Rfam family: RtT RNA
About the family: This family represents a bacterial cis-regulatory element known as RtT RNA. The exact function of RtT is unknown although it is thought that it may be involved in changing the cellular response in relation to amino acid starvation.
Source: RNAcentral
GGCAACGACCCGAAGGGUGAAGCGCGCAGCGCUGAGUAAUCCUUCCCCCACCACCA